UUAUGAUAAUGGCAAAUCUAUUGAAAGAUAGAGACGCAAAGCUACGGGUCUAACACUAUUACAGUCAUGACAGCCGGGUUACCAAG
Molecule: non-coding RNA, 86 nt
Filed under: Litchfieldia salsa
Lineage: Bacteria; Bacillati; Bacillota; Bacilli; Caryophanales; Bacillaceae
Description: Bacillus sp. A24(2010) c-di-GMP-I riboswitch aptamer
Rfam family: c-di-GMP-I riboswitch aptamer
About the family: GEMM was predicted in a large-scale screen for bacterial structured RNA regulatory elements. Genes associated with GEMM are involved in a diverse array of functions, including chemotaxis regulation, signal transduction, secretion and chitin.
Source: Rfam by way of RNAcentral